UUUUAAACAAGGUAUUUUGCAGGAUGUGAAGCGACAGUUUCAUUUAGUUUGAUAUUCCUGUUGUACAUKAGCCCAAGUUGUAAUCGUCCCAUUGAAACCUGAGCCGAGAUGUUUGGUCCCAAACCGACACUUCAGGACCGCCAGCACCGUUACCGGCUGAUGUUCAGCCAGCUGUUGAAUGACGGUUACACCAACAUGGCUAACAACCUGAUCCCGGAGGUCAAGACGCAAAAGUGAUGAUGAAUGAAGACGGGCCCAGCAGAACACGGAGAAACCAC
Salvelinus sp. IW2-2015 is the source of this 278-nucleotide non-coding RNA. NCBI's taxonomy places the organism in Eukaryota, Metazoa, Chordata, Actinopteri, Salmoniformes, Salmonidae. The record is from RefSeq and is a predicted model, not a curated record.